CAGUCGCCACGGUAAUACGUAGGGUGCGAGCGUUAAUCGGAAUUACUGGGCGUAAAGCGUGCGCAGGCGGUUCGUUAAGACAGAGGUGAAAGCCCGGAGCUCAACUCCGGAAUUGCCUUUAAGACUGCAGAGCUAGCAGGUGAGAGAGGUGAGUGGAAUUCCGAGUGUAGAGGUAAAAUGCGUAGAUAUCAGGAGGAACACCUGUGGCGAAAGCGGCUCACUGGACCAUAACUGACGCUGAGGCACGAAAGCUAGGGGAGCAAACAGGAUUAGAUACCCCUGUAGUCCCUGUCUCUUAUAC
This 301-nucleotide ribosomal RNA is filed under the name uncultured bacterium. Its description in RNAcentral is "partial 16S ribosomal RNA". It matches the Rfam family "Bacterial small subunit ribosomal RNA", at positions 509 to 807 of the family's 1533-position model. The record is from RNAcentral.